AACGAAAGUGAGGGAGAUGUGGUUGGCAGUCUAUCGUCUAAGUUAUGGAAGGUGAAGUUGCCUGGAAUGGCACAGCCAGAGAGGGUGAAAGUCCCGUAACCGUACAUAAUAUGACCACGUGACUGUCAAAGAGUAGCAUGCGUUGGAAAUCGCGUGUGAAUAUAGGAGGCAUAAACUUCUAAUCCUAAAUACAGUUCGAGACCGAUAGUUUACAAGUAACGUGAGUGAAAGCUGAAAAGUAUCCUUAGCGGGAUGUGAAAAGAACGUGAAACCAGUUGGGUACAGGCUGAUAGGGCGUGAAAGCGAAGAUAUGAGCAGCGUCCUAUCGUGCGUUUAGAAAAAUGCCCCAGGGAGUUUUGAUCAAUGGCGAGGUUAAGGGGUUGAUCCCCGAAGCCGGAGGGAAACCGACAAGUCCGCAGCCUUAGGGUGAGGGACGAAGUGUGCUCGCUUGGAGUCAAUGGUGGAGGACCUGAAGCCCGACGAUCUAUGCCUGGCCAGAUUGAAGCCCGUUGAAAGAUGGGUGGAGGAUCGAACCGUUGCUGAUCUGCAAAUCGCUCGGACGAGCUGGGUAUAGGGGUGAAAGUCCAAUCGAGUUGGGCAAUAGCAGGUUCCGCGUGAAAGUACUCGUAGGUACACGUUAGUGGAGAUUGAUUACGCUGUAGAGCACUGAUUGUGCGUUUAGGGGGAGCGAUUCCUCGGCGUGCUGCCAAACUCCGAAGGUGUAAUCGUUGUAGAUACUAGCAGUGAGUGAUGGUGGGUAAGCUACCAUUACGUAAGGUGAACAAACCAGCCUGAAGUUAAGGUCCCUAAAUAUCAAUUAAGUGUCACAGACAAACCGUGUCCGUGGUCGAAAACAACCAGAAGGUGGGCUUAGAAGCAGCCAUCCUUGAAAGAGUUCGUAACAGAUCACUAGUCUAGCUUGCGGGCCGGGAAAAGGGACGGGGCUAAAAUUGAUUACCGAUACUUCAGACCAUCGAAAGAUGAUGUGGUAACGCGGCGUUGUGUUUGGAUAGAAGGUGGGCUUUAAGGUCCGCUGGACCGAAUACAAAUGAGAGUCUUGGGAAGAGUAGCAGCACAGUGUGGUGAGAAUCCGCACCGCCUUAUAAACCAGGGUUCCUCGGCACUGUUCAUCAGCCGAGGGUUAGCCGGUCCUAAGGUCAUUCUUAACCGAAAUGAUCGAAAGGGAAUUGCGUUAAUAUUCGUAAGCCCCUCUUACAUUAAUGGUGACGGCUUGGGCUAGUUUAUGCGCAUCUGUCAUGGUGCGUCGAAGCGUUCAAUAAUCGAAUGGAGAACCGUAAUGGUGAGAAGUUUGAGAAGACGUGAGCAAAAGAUAGAUGAGGCCUAGGUCCCAUGAAAAACCGUAAGAGGUGAUCGUACCAAGAUCUGACACAGGUACCCAAGGUGAGAAGCCUAAGGUGUGACGGGCAAAGUAUCGUGAAGGAACUCGGCAAAAUCGCUCUGUAACUUCGGGAGAAGGAGUGCCAGGUUCGAGAGAACCUGGUCGCAGUAACAAGGGGACUCCGACUGUUUAAUAAAAACAUAGGCGACUGCUAGAUCGAAAGAUCGUGUAUAGUCGCUGAAUCCUGCUCAGUGCCGGUAUCUGAAAUCGGGUUUCAACCUGACGAAGGACCAGUAAACAGCGGGGGUAACUAUGACCCUCUUAAGGUAGCGUAAUACCUUGUCGCUUAAUUGGCGACUUGCAUGAAUGGUCCAACGAGGGCUCCACUGUCCCCGCGAUAAGUCCGGCGAAAUUGACUUUACUGGCGCACAGUCCAGUACAUUCUACCCGCAAGCGAAGACCCCAUAGAGCUUUACUGCAGCCUGUCGUUGCAUUGUCGCUUUCCAUGUACUGUGUAGGUGGGAGACGUUGAUCCCUGAGACGCUAGUCUCGGGGUUAGUCGAAACAAGAGACACCACCCUUGGAAGGUAACAAUGCUAACUCUUUAUGAGAACACCGAUUGGUGGGCAGUUUGGGUGGGGCGCCACGCGCUCGAAAACCUAACAAGCGUGCCCAAUGGUCAGCUUAAGUGGUUCAGCACUCCACUGUUAACUGUAAGGGGAAAAGCUGGCUUGACGUGGAUCGGCACAAUAACGAUCGACGAUGCGAAAGCAGGGCCUAACGAACCUACCAGCCUCAUUUCU
This 2142-nucleotide ribosomal RNA is filed under the name seawater metagenome. Its description in RNAcentral is "bacterial LSU rRNA". It matches the Rfam family "Archaeal large subunit ribosomal RNA", at positions 266 to 2508 of the family's 2987-position model. The record is from RNAcentral.